This 394-nucleotide ribosomal RNA is filed under the name uncultured bacterium. RNAcentral's name for it is "partial 16S ribosomal RNA". It matches the Rfam family "Bacterial small subunit ribosomal RNA", at positions 523 to 918 of the family's 1533-position model. The record is from RNAcentral.
AUACGUAGGGGACGAGCGUUGUCCGGAAUUACUGGGCGUAAAGGGCGUGCAGGCGGAUAUUUAAGUCAGCUGUAAAAGGCAUGAGCUCAACUCAUGAAUGCGGUUGAAACUGGGUAUCUAGAGUGCUGGAGAGGUAGGCGGAAUUCCCGGUGUAGCGGGGAAAUGCGUAGAUAUCGGGAAGAACACCAGUGGCGAAGGCGGCUUACUGGCCAGCAACUGACGCUGAGGCGCGAAAGCCAGGGGAGCGAACGGGAUUAGAUCCCCCGUUAGUCCUGGCCGUAAACGAUGAAUGCUGGGUGUGGGUGUCGAGAGGCAUCCGUGCCGGAGUUAACGCGAUAAGCAUACCGCCUGGGGAGUACGGUCGCAAGAUUGAAACUUAAAGGAAUUGACGGGG